This 7753-nucleotide long non-coding RNA is filed under the name Homo sapiens (human). RNAcentral's name for it is "HSALNT0088260". Lineage: Eukaryota; Metazoa; Chordata; Mammalia; Primates; Hominidae. The record is from RNAcentral.
CAAAGGAUUAUAAAUCAUUCUACUAUAAAGGCACAUGCACACAUAUGCUUAUUGCAGCACUGUUCACAAUAUCAAAGACUUGGAACCAACCCAAAUGCCCAUCAAUGAUAGACUGGAUAAAGAAAAUGUGGCACAUAUAUACCAUGGAAUACUAUGCAGCCAUAUAAUAGGAUGAAGUCACGUCCUUUGCAGGGACAUGGAUGAAGCUGUAAACCAUCAUUCUCAGCAAACUACCACAUGAACAGAAAACCAAACACCGCAUAUUCUCACUCAUAAGUGGGAGCUGAAUAAUGAGAACACAUAGACACAGGGAGGGGAACAUUAUGCAUCGGGGCCUUUAAGAGGGUUGGGGGCUAGGGGAGGGAUAGCAUUAGGAGAAAUACCUAAUGUGGAUGAUGAGAUGACGGGCUGAUGGGUGCAGCAAACCACCAUGGCAUAUGUAUACCUAUGUAACAAACCUGCAUGUUCUGCACAUGUAUCCCAGAACUUAAAGUGAAAGAAAGAAAGAGGAAAGAAAGAAAGAAGAAAGUAAAGAAAAGAAAGAAAGAAAGAAAGAAAAAGAAAGAAAGAAAGAAAGAAAGAAAGAAAGAAAGAAAGAAAGAAAGAAAGAAAACAAAAACAAAAUACCACGAAUUUAUCAUCUUAUAAUGAUGUUGUUUAGAAGUUUGAUGUGGGUCUCACUGCACUCAAAUCAAGGGCUCUAUUCUGAAGCACUACAAGAGGAAACAGACUGGAACGACAAAGCUGAAUAGAGAGACCUAUGGAAGACAGAGAACUACAGAAAUCUAUUCUUUAUAUAUAAGUUAAGGCAAAACAAAUAUAUCAAUUUUACUAAAGCUUUUCAAUACUUAGACCCUGACAUGUGUAAAUGUGAAUAAACAUAUAUAUACAUACAAAUAUGCACCUUUAAAAUAAAAUAAGAGUGUAACUUGGUGAUGAGAAAAAAGAGAAGCAGUAAUAGCCAAAGUGUGGACUCGGAAGGGAAGAAGAAUGAGGUGGAGGCUUUCUUUCUUUUUCUGGCCUCAAGUUUCCAUAUGGAGAGACUUCAUACUGUAGAAAUAUCUAUCUACUACCAAUUUGAGAUCCUCCCCCAAAUCCUUACUCACUCCUUCCUAGGGGAAGAAUCAUGGUUUAUCUGAUUCAUCAUCACACUUUAGAGUUAUUGAACUUUACCACUGAUUAACAAAUUAAUCUGGUGAGCAAAUAAUCAGAGUAAAAUGAUACAACAUUUAAUUAGAUGUAAACUACAAGGCAUCUGGUGUCACCUAGGAAAGAAACAGGUGUCAGUGGUGACAUAUUUCAACCCUAUUGCACAAAUUCAGCAAGAGAACACCCACAAUCCACAUGUUACUGUGUUUGCCACACCUACGUUAUUAUGGGAAUCAGGAAAUCUGGAGUGACUGGCACUAAGAUAUUAAAUAGAAAUCUGGAAGUUACUAUCAUUUAUAUUGUCUUCCUAUGGAAUUCUCAUAUGUGCAGGUAAGUGUCCCAAAGGGAAGAAAAUUGUGCUUGGUUUGAUGGCUAUAAUUGACAUUGCAUAGGGUGAUCUACUCAAAAGACAAUGCAAAUUCAAUACCAAUAAGUUGAGUAAUAGGGUAAAAGGACAAACCAAAAGCUUGUACAUUUUUAUUGUUCUUACUGGAUGUAUGUACUUAUGUACAUGUAUGAAUAUGAAAAUAUUAUAAGUAGAGAUACUUUAAAAUGUGUAUCAAUGUGUGCACAUUCAUAUUUAUAAGAUCUAUAAUAUACAAGUAUAUAUUAUAUAUACUAUAUAUAAGUAUAUAUUUAUAUAUUAUGUAAGUAUAUAUUAUAUAUUAUAAGUAUAUAUAAUAUAUAGCUAUACAUAAUAUAUACUUAUUAUAUUAUAUAUUUUAUAUAUUUAUAUAAUAUCUUUGCCAUAAAAAAUACAUUAUGGAAAAUUUGAAACACAUACAAAAGUAGAGACAAUGGUAUAAUGAAUACCCCAUGUACCGAUAACCCAGGUCAACAAUUAUCUUCUCAUUGCUAAUUUAUUUCUUUUGUACCCCUACCCAUUUUCCCCUUUCCCCUUCCUGAUUAUUUCAAAACAAAUCCCAGACAUGAUAUUAUAUCAUCUGUAAGUAUUCUAGUGUUUGUUUCUAAAAGGCAAGAACCCCACUUUUAAAUAUAACCACAACACCAUCAUUACAUUUCACCCCCUACCUUUCAUUAUGUGAAGUCAACAAUAAUUCCUCAAUAUCACUAAAUAGCCAGUCAGGGUUCAAACUUCAGUUGUCAUACAAACGUUGUUGCUUUUUAAUAGUUCAUCUGCAUUGGAAUUGAAUUGAAUUGAAAUAGAAAAAGUUCCAGAUCUGAGGUUGGCUAAAGGUCUCUUAAGAGCCUUUUACUCUACAAGUUCCCUUUCACCUUUUUAUUUUUCUUGAAGUUUUUUGUUUGUUUAUUUUUGGUUGUUGUUGAGGGAAACAGGUUGCUUGUCCUGUAGUGUUUCUCAUGUCCUGGAAUUUAAUAUUGCAUACUCUUAGUCUCAUCCAAUGUGUUUCUCUCUUAUGAACUGACACUUAUCUAUAGGUUUAAUCAAAUUAAAAGUCAAUAUUUUGGCAUGACUUUAUUAUAGAAGGUAUUGUUUACUUCUAUCAGGAACUGAAUCAUAUCUACUUGUCUUUCUUUUUUAAUGUUAGCAGCUAUUGAUAUUUAUUUUCUGGGUCUAUUCAUUUAGUAUGGGAUAUAAAAUGAUUACACAUCUUCUUCAUUUGGUAACAAAAACUUUCCCUCAUCAAAUUGUUUGUUUACCUUAUGAUACAAUUUGUAUGUGAAUAAAUACUUACUUCCCUUUAUCAUUUUUUAAAAUAGCAAAUUGGUGGUGACCAAUUUUUUCCUUCUGAAUAAAAUCAUUAAUUCAUAAAUUUAAGUAUAUUUGAUAUACUUUAGUCUGCAAAAGUUAUUAUCUUUGUUGACAUUAAUAUUGCCCCAUCUUUGCAUAAUGAGAGCUUACUAUUGUUGGUUCCAGGGUCUUUUUGACGUAAAUCUAGCAGUCAUUGAUAGCUUUAUAUUUUAUUACAAUAAGAUAGUCCAAGCUUGUCCUGUAUUUCCUAACUCAGAGCUAGUAUUGCCUAUCUUUCAAAAUAUUCUUCAUUCCUUUUUUAUGGAAAUGGUAUUUACAGACCAAAAUCUAGGCCCUCAUCACUACUGGGUCAAUCUUUUGUCUAAGAUUUUUUGUGGAUUCAGUUAGAUAGUACAUGUUAAUUUAAAUACUAAUACAUGCAAAUAAAAUUAAGAACUACAGGGUUUUGACUUAACCUUAACCAUCUUGUAUUACCUUUCUUCACAUCAAAACUUCUAGUAUUCAAGGAAGCUAAAAUAAUCACUCAAUAGCUUUAUUUAUUUAUAUUAUAUAUAACACUCAUAACAGGCCUAAAACUCCCUUUAAUAAUAUGAUUGCUGAAAAACAGUUUAAGAUUUGUUUACAACUGUGUGUACUUGGGGAUGUACUCUCAAAUUACUGUGUUUUAGUCAUUUGGAAUAGUUUCUAUCUUGGUUCCACCAGCUGGGUACACAGAUUCAUUUUGAUACAUUUUGCCUUGAUGUUUAGGGCUUACUUUUAAGUUUCAAUUUUAUUUUAUAAAUAUGUAAAAUAUGUAUGUGGUUCUAAAAUCAAAUCCAUAAAACAACUUAUAUUCAUAAAAGUUUUACCUCUAUUUUUGUCUUUUCCAUAUAACUCUCUCCCUAUUUAGAUAACUCUGUUACAUCAUUACUACUUUGUAAUUAAGACACACACAUAGGCAUAUACAGGCAUUAACUAGCAGCAUACUAUAUGAUCUGGUUUGGCUGUGUCCCCACCAGAAUCUCAUCUUGAAUUUCCAUGUGUUGUGGGAGGGACCUGGUGGGAGGUAAUUGAAUCAUGGGGACAGGUAUUUCCCAGGCUGUUCUCAUGAUAGUGAAUAAGUCUUACAAGAUUUGAUGGUUUUAAAAGCAGGAGUUUCCCUGCGCAAGCUCUCUCUUUGCCUGCUGCCAUCCAUGUAGAUGUGACUUGCUCUACCUUGCCUUCUGCCAUGAUUGUGGGGCCUCCUCAGUCAUGUGGAACUGUUAAGUCCAUUAAACCUCUUUUUCUUCCCAAUCUCGGGUAUGUACUUAUCAGCAGUGUGAAAAUGGACUAAUACACUCUACAUACUUUUUCACCUUCCUUUCUGAUUUAACUACAUAUUCCUGAGAUUAUUCUAUAGUAAUAUAUAGAUAUAUUAACCUUUUCUAUGAUAGGUACAUAGAUUUCUAUUGUGUUGAUAUACCACAGUUUCUUCAAUCUAUCCUUCACUGUUAUUUGAACUUUGUUUACAGACAUAAAAGAUAUAUUCUAGUCCUUAAAAAAAAGCUAUAUUUGGCAGGGUGUGGUGGCUCCACCUGCAAUCCCAGCAGUUUGGGAGGCUGAGGCGGGUGGUUCACCUGAGGUUAGGAGUUCAAGACCAGCCUGGCCUACAUGGUGAAAUCCUGUAGUAAAAAUACAAAAAAAUUAGCUGGGCAUGGUGGCGGAUGCCUGUUAUCCCAGCUACUUGGGAGGCUGAAGCAGGAGAAUCGCUUGAACCUGGGAGGCAGAGGUUGCAGUGAGCUGCGAUCCCACCACUGCAUGCCAGCCUGGUCAACAGAGCAAGACUGUGUCUCAAAAAAAAAAAAAAAGAAAAAAGAAAAAAUAUAUAUUCAAGCCCCGGUACUUGUAAAUGUGACCUUAUUUGUAAAUAGGGUUUUUGCAGAUAUAAUCAAGUUAAGAUGAGGUCAUCCUCCUAUGUUAGUUAGGCCCUAAUUCAAUAUUUUGGUGAUCUUAUAAGAAGAGGAGAGAAGCCAACAGGGAGAAGAUAGCCAUGUGAGACAGAGACAGAGAUUGGAGACAAGAACUGCCAAGGACUGUCAGAAACCAGAAGAGGCAAGGAAAGAUUCCUUCCUACAGGUUUCAGAGGGAGUAUGGCCCUAUUGAUAGCCUGAUUUUAGAUUUCCAGCAUUCAGAACUGGGACACAAUUUUUUGUUUGUUUGUUUUUUUAAACCACAUAGUUUUUUACACCAUAGUUAUUACUUUUUUACAGCAAUCCUGGGAAACUAAUAUACUUACUGAUUGCCAUUUUGGUAGUUUCUAGUCUUCUGCUCUUGGAAACAAUGCUGUGAUGAAAAUCUUUGUAAAUACAUCAUUUUAUAUAUUUUUUCCAGAGUACUUUGCAGUGGAGUUUUGGAAAUGAGAUUGCUGGUCAAAGGGUAAAUACAUAGGUAGUUUUGGAAGACAGUCUCAAAUUCCCUUCUAUACGGGUUUUAUUAUUUUGCUUCGUGAGCAAUAAUUUUCAAUGUGCCUAUUUCCUUACACUUAAAAUUUUGCCCAUCUGAUAGGUGAAAAAUUAUUUUUCAAUAUAGUUUUAAUUUUAAUUAUCUCUUAUUGGUAAGGCUGACUGUAUUUUCAUAUGGUUAACAGCCAUUUGAUUUCUUCUGGUCGGGGUACUAUCUGUUCAUAUAUUUAGCCCAUUUUUCUAUGAAGGUAAGUCCCCCUUCCCAUCUAGAGUUAUUUUUAUAUUGGAAUUAUUAAUUAUUUGAGAUAUGUUAAAUACCCCAGUUCGUUUUUUGUCUUUUUAUUUGCUUAUGAUGUUUUUUCAUUUAUUUAUUGCCAUCCUUAAGACAUUUUAAAGUCUUUAUUUCUUGAAUUCACCAGUGAUAUAUAAUCAGUUCAUGGAGAAAAGAUACUUUUAUUAAGAAUAAAGCUAACAUAGAGGACUUUUUAGACGGUCUUCCAGAUUUUUUUAUAAUGUAAUGGUAUAUUAUUGGUUUUAUGCUUAAAGUUGAUUUUGAGGAAUUCUGACACAAUUCUAAGUUGCAUGGCUUAUAGCACUCAGAAAGAUAAAGGAAUCUUUGCUUGAAUUAACACUUUCUCAUCAGCCUUUGGUGUAUGGAUAGAAAGUACCAGAUUAUCUAUUAGUAAGAAACGAAUCAGCACUUACACAUUUGAAAAAUACAUUCACUGUUUAAAAUUUACUCAGUUGACAUUUAAAUAUGCCACACAUAUUCUUUAGCAAUUCAACUUUUAUCAAACACUAAACAUUUAUUGUCUGUUGCCUAUGAACAUGUGUCUUCUUCCAAGUGAAUUUAUCAUCUAAAACUGGUCUAUUUUACCCAGAUCCUACAAGUAAUUAUCUCUACAAGCUUCAGCAAAUGCGCUUUUAGUUCCUGUCUGUGUAAGAUGAGGUGGCUAGAAUAAAAUAUUCUAAAGCUCAUUUCAACUCUAAAAUAUAUUAAUCUGCUUCUGUAGUAAGGAUCUCACAUUUCUUAGGAAACCCUUGAAUAGAUCUUAUCUCUUUUCAUUUAGACAAAAUUAAUUUCAGCACCUCUUGGUUGAUAGAUACAAAAAUGGAACUUCACAUAGUUCCAUUCCCUUUCUGCCAUGCAGAGUGAAUGGCCUGAGAACACAUUUAUAACUGAGAGGUAGGGGAGCAGGCUGACUCACCUGCAGGGCCUUGACUUCUGUAGAUACCCAGCUCCUUCAGGAAGCGCUGAGGAGUGCUCUCAUCCUCCCUCCAGGAGGGAAGGAAGACAGGCAAGAGGAGGAGAGGAGGUUCACCAGAUUCCUCCUAAGCUGACAUUGUCCCUGAUAAUUUCUAUGGCCCAAUUUGGAGCCUCAGCUUCAGUAAAUUCUGACAACUCAGGAUAAAAGGACCCCACCACGUUGUGCUCCCCUAUGACCUAUUCUUUUCUUUCAUGCAAGUUAUAUUUAAAAACCAUGUAUUUUAUGUUUGUUUAUGUGUUUACUGCUUGCCUUUGGGACAAGAUUGUAAGCUCUCUAAGGACAGGGAUCAGAUAUUGUUUUAUUUUAAACAAAUGCAUAUGUAAUUAAUUUUAUAUUUUAAAUUUAUUGUUAUUGCAUUUUCCAUUUGAAUUUAUUAUUUAAUAAUUUUAAUAAAUUGUAAUAAUGAAUGUGAUUGUAGCUAAUUCUCAUUAUUUGGGGAUUCCCUAUUUGUGAGUUUACCUAUUCACUAAGAUUUAUUUGUAACAUCCAAAUCAAUACUCCCAAUGCUUAGUAGUCAUUGCUGGACAUACCAUGUGCAGAAUGGGGAAAAGCAAAGUGGCCUGAUGUGCACAUUCCUGGUUGAGGGUCCCAGCUGAGGUUGAACAAGAUGACAUUCUCUUAUUAUUUCAGGUCUCAUACUGUAAACAAGUGUACUUUCUGUGAUCUAUUUAAUGCUACAUUUUUCACAUUUUUGUGUUUUAUUAUUGAUAGUUUUCUUGCUUAAAAUGGCCCUCAGGCAUAGUGCUGAAGUGCUAUCUAGUGUCCUCAAGCACAGGAAGCCUAUGACGUGCCUUACAGAGAAAGCACUCAUGUUAAUAAGCUCCUUUCAGGCAUGAGUUCUGUGUGGUUGGCUGUGAGUUCAAUAUUAAUGAAUAGACAAUAUAUGUUUUGCAUGGUGUCUUUAAACAGAAACAUAAAACAUACAACAAGCAACAAGGCUAUGUAUUGAUUAUUUGAUUAAAACGUUGUGACAAGAGGCUCCCAGGAACCCAACCCUGUAUUUCCUCUCCGUGACAAUGAUUCAGUAUGUGCUAAUUCAGUAUUCACAGAGACUCUAUAGAACAUAACUACUUCAAAUAAUGAAAAUUAACUGUGUUUAAUUUUUAUUUUUCUUUUAAAUGAAUGAAUAUCAAUGUAAUAAAUAUUUAUACCUGUCAUAUAGUUGGUUACUAAUAAAUGUUUAUCAAAUGAACAAUUAAAUGAAUGUUGAUUGUGAUCAGAACCGUGAUCUUGAUAAAAGGGUU